GAGGCUGUAGUUCAAAGUUCUCCAACUUCGUAGUUCAACGUUGGGAGUGUCGUCAAGGAACUGAGCCUACUAACUCUACCAUAAAUACACAUUUCUUUUUUUUCCCACAGAUACUUCUAGACUUCUUUGGGGCGUCUUUUUGCCAGAUUGUUUUCCAAACGCUUCAGGGAAUGUGAAAUGUCUUUGGGGACUCUGAGAUGACGGUCCUUCAAU
This is a long non-coding RNA of Felis catus (domestic cat), 213 nucleotides long. RefSeq lists it as uncharacterized. Lineage: Eukaryota; Metazoa; Chordata; Mammalia; Carnivora; Felidae. The transcript has 2 exons. The record is from RefSeq and is a predicted model, not a curated record.